Molecule: ribosomal RNA, 980 nt
Filed under: Cutibacterium acnes
Lineage: Bacteria; Bacillati; Actinomycetota; Actinomycetes; Propionibacteriales; Propionibacteriaceae
Description: bacterial SSU rRNA
Rfam family: Bacterial small subunit ribosomal RNA
Source: RNAcentral
CGUAGGGUGCGAGCGUUGUCCGGGAUUUAUUGGGCGUAAAGGGCUCGUAAGUGGUUGAUCGCGUCGGAAGUGUAAUCUUGGGGCUUAACCCUGAGCGUGCUUUCGAUACGGGUUGACUUGAGGAAGGUAGGGGAGAAUGGAAUUCCUGGUGGAGCGGUGGAAUGCGCAGAUAUCAGGAGGAACACCAGUGGCGAAGGCGGUUCUCUGGGCCUUUCCUGACGCUGAGGAGCGAAAGCGUGGGGAGCGAACAGGCUUAGAUACCCUGGUAGUCCACGCUGUAAACGGUGGGUACUAGGUGUGGGGUCCAUUCCACGGGUUCCGUGCCGUAGCUAACGCUUUAAGUACCCCGCCUGGGGAGUACGGCCGCAAGGCUAAAACUCAAAGGAAUUGACGGGGCCCCGCACAAGCGGCGGAGCAUGCGGAUUAAUUCGAUGCAACGCGUAGAACCUUACCUGGGUUUGACAUGGAUCGGGAGCGCUCAGAGAUGGGUGUGCCUCUUUUGGGGUCGGUUCACAGGUGGUGCAUGGCUGUCGUCAGCUCGUGUCGUGAGAUGUUGGGUUAAGUCCCGCAACGAGCGCAACCCUUGUUCACUGUUGCCAGCACGUUAUGGUGGGGACUCAGUGGAGACCGCCGGGGUCAACUCGGAGGAAGGUGGGGAUGACGUCAAGUCAUCAUGCCCCUUAUGUCCAGGGCUUCACGCAUGCUACAAUGGCUGGUACAGAGAGUGGCGAGCCUGUGAGGGUGAGCGAAUCUCGGAAAGCCGGUCUCAGUUCGGAUUGGGGUCUGCAACUCGACCUCAUGAAGUCGGAGUCGCUAGUAAUCGCAGAUCAGCAACGCUGCGGUGAAUACGUUCCCGGGGCUUGUACACACCGCCCGUCAAGUCAUGAAAGUUGGUAACACCCGAAGCCGGUGGCCUAACCGUUGUGGGGGGAGCCGUCGAAGGUGGGACUGGGUGAUUAGGACUAAGUCGUACAAAGGUA